AGCUUCGGCCACCCCGCCUGGUUCCACGCCCGAUCUCGUUUGAUCUCGGAAGCUAAGAUAGGUUGGGCCUGGUUAGUACUUGGAUGGGAGACCGCCUGGGAUUACCAGGUGCUGUAAACU
RNAcentral lists this ribosomal RNA (120 nucleotides) under Scophthalmus maximus (turbot). The record is from RNAcentral. Lineage: Eukaryota; Metazoa; Chordata; Actinopteri; Pleuronectiformes; Scophthalmidae.